GACGAACGCUGGCGGCGUGCUUAACACAUGCAAGUCGAACGGUGAACCAGAGCUUGCUCUGGGGAUCAGUGGCGAACGGGUGAGUAACACGUGGGCAACCUGCCCCAGACUCUGGGAUAACUCCGGGAAACCGGAGCUAAUACCGGAUACGACUACUUCGGACAUCCGACGGUAGUGGAAAGUUUUUCGGUCUGGGAUGGGCCCGCGGCCUAUCAGCUAGUUGGUGGGGUAAUGGCCUACCAAGGCGACGACGGGUAGCCGGCCUGAGAGGGCGACCGGCCACACUGGAACUGAGACACGGUCCAGACUCCUACGGGAGGCAGCAGUGGGGAAUAUUGCACAAUGGGCGAAAGCCUGAUGCAGCGACGCCGCGUGAGGGACGACGGCCUCGGUUGUAAACCUCUUUCAGCAGGGACGAAGCGAAAGUGACUGUACCUGCAGAGAAGCACCGGCUAACUACGUGCCAGCAGCCGCGGU
This 477-nucleotide ribosomal RNA is filed under the name uncultured bacterium. RNAcentral describes it as "bacterial SSU rRNA". It matches the Rfam family "Bacterial small subunit ribosomal RNA", at positions 28 to 521 of the family's 1533-position model. The record is from RNAcentral.